GAAUUUUAUAUAAUUAUAAUUAGAAAAGAAUAAUAUGGAUUAUAUUUGGUUGGGAGGAUAAUUUAAUUUAAUAAACUUAAAAUAUUUAAAGACAAUGAUAUAUGAAUUAGAAAUUAAGGAUUAAUUUAUAAAUUAUAGAAGAAGUAAUUACCUCAGGGAUAACAGCAUAAUAUUUUUUUUUAGAUCAUAUAUAAAAAAAUGAUUAU
This 206-nucleotide ribosomal RNA is filed under the name Pachycondyla procidua. RNAcentral's name for it is "partial large subunit ribosomal RNA". Lineage: Eukaryota; Metazoa; Arthropoda; Insecta; Hymenoptera; Formicidae. The record is from RNAcentral.